CAGCCGAGCGCUGGUCGAGUGAGCACCUCCCUGCCCGGCUCCUCCUCCACCCGCACCCCACAGCUCCUGCCCCUCCCCUUGCGAGGCGCGGCGCCCCCUCCUCACCAACACCCCCCCAGCACCACCUCAGGGGGGCACAGGACACGUGUAUACCAGGUGAUGGAGAGAUACGAGUGAGGGGCGAGAGGUGCUCACUCCAAAGGAGACCUACUGAGAAGGCGGAAAUGGGGGAAGAUACAUCUGUGAUGAUUGAAACUAAUAUGUGCAAGUGAAGAACAAAGUGAAGGAGUGAAUGGGCCCAUAAGGUGCAAGGAAACCCUCCGAGUGGCGUGUGACUGCGUGCACACACACACACACACGCACGCGCGUCUGGUGCUCUUAAGUUGAGAGCGGUGGUGGAGAGUUGCGUGUUGCCGGAGCUCUGCUGGUGUUGUGUAGUGUUUCACGCUCCUGGUGUUCCCGUGCGGGUGCUGAUAGUGAAGUGUAGUGUUGCGGUGAGUGUAGUGAGGUGUAGGCAGCCCGUGAGCGCCCGUGGAUCACGCGUAAGUAAAGAGGAAGGAAAGAGAGUCCGUCCGGUACUGGUGCAAGGCUCAGAGUGGAAGGUGGUCGCUAUAGCGAGCUGUGCCCGUGGUGGGGGGUUGCGGAGGGGUGUGUGUGGUGGGGGGAGAGUGUGUGUGUGUGUGUGUGUGUGUGUGCCUUUGUGGGGGUGGCACGCAUGCCCAGGUGUUACCCCUGCUCUUCUGCCACGGGGGAGACUUCACACCGCUCCGGCCACACUCUCGCUAGACGUCGGCCGUAACUGGUACGGCGCACACCCCCUUCUCCGUGGCCCUGUCACCGCUCCGUGGCCCUGUCACCGCUCCGUGGCCCUGUCACCGCUCCGUGGCCUCCCCCGUGUCUACCCCGUGUCAUGCA
Non-coding RNA from Procambarus clarkii (red swamp crayfish), 915 nucleotides. Lineage: Eukaryota; Metazoa; Arthropoda; Malacostraca; Decapoda; Cambaridae. The record is from RefSeq and is a predicted model, not a curated record.